Molecule: RNA transcript, 1893 nt
Organism: Arachis stenosperma
Lineage: Eukaryota; Viridiplantae; Streptophyta; Magnoliopsida; Fabales; Fabaceae
Exons: 5
Source: RefSeq, a predicted model, not a curated record
GUUCUAAAGCUCCUUCGUUUCUUUCUCCCUUUCUCCCUCCGUUUCUUUCAUUCACAGAAACUCAUCCAAAAAACCCUAGCACUGUAAGCCUACACCACCGCCGCCGCAAGGAGUGGCAUACUGCUGCCGUCCGUCCGUCUAUCUAGCUUCCCUCGUGCACCAUGUCUUCAACUCCCGUUCGCUAUCACCGAUCGCAGCUGCUUCCUCGAGCUCGGCGUCCGUCGUCUUUGUCUGCUCAGCCGCGCUUCCGCCGCCGUUGGUUGCCGUUAACGUUCGCGUCUUCGUUCAGCCGUCGUCUUCAUUCGCGUUCUUCGCCGUUCAAGUUUGCUCGGCGUUCACCGUUCGCGUUCACUCGCCGUUCACUGUUCGCGUUCACUCGCCGUUCACCAUUCGCGUUCACUCGCCGUUCACCGUUCGGGUUCGCGUUCGUCUGGAAGCCACGUUGCCCUGCUUCAAACUCUGCGACCAACCCGUGCGCUCCACCUAGCCGUCGAACUGCUCUCUUUUGUCACCGCCCAUGGCACUCUCGGGGCACUUGUCCAAGAUUCUGUUAAGAGCCACUACUAGACCCUGUUUUACUGUGCACCCACCCUCCGCCACUGCCGCUACCCCAGUGCCACCACUAGGCCGCCACCGUGUUGCUCCGGCCAUUCACUCAUCAUCAUCAAUCUUUCCCUUCCCUUCCCCUGUUCCAAUUCCCUGCUUCCCAGGUUCCCCUUUCAUCUCAUUUGAUUUUAUUUCUCUUAAGUGAAUUAAUAAUGAAGAAACUCAGGUUACACGUUAUAAUGACACUCUUUAACAUUUUGUUCUUGUGUUUGUUCAGGAAGGGAAUGUGCUGAAUAAUUAUAUUAAAAGAUGGAUUUAGGCAUUCUUUUCUUCCUCUUUCACACCCUGCAGGUUUUGACAGCUACUAAAAUUAGAUAUUGGAGGUUUUGUUCAAUUAGAUGCUAGGUUUUGACAAGUCCCCAUGAGAUGUAAUGGCAAAAGAGAAUUGAUAGGCACACAGUUUCUUCUUGUUAUCAUGCUAUAUAAAAAACAUGUCUCAGUUGUGGUGGUUUGGUUUGGUUUUUGUUGUUUUCCAUUGCAGGAAUGCUAUUGAUUCCUCUUUAUUCAAGCAAUGGUUGCAUAACUUGCAAAGUGAGAUUGGGAUUUCUAGCUGAUGGCACCUUGGCUCUGAGACAAGUUCUAAUUCAGUAAACCGUGAUUAGGUUCCAGGUAUUGUAUUUGCAAGAGGACCUGCUGUGACUGUGUUGAUACUUCUGGAAUCAGAUGGUGAAACUUAUGCUGUCCUUACUGAACAGGCAAGGGUUCCUACUGGAAGAAUUAUUUUGGAAUUGCCUGCUGGAAUGUUGGAUGAUGACAAGGGUGAUUUCGUUGGCACUGCAGUUCGUGAGGCUUCUCUCUCUACAAUUCUUCAUGGCUUAGUUGUGCCUGACAGGUUGAAGAGGAGACUGGCAUAAAGUUCAAACUUGAAGACAUGGUUGAUCUCACUGCUUUCUUGGAUUCUUCAACAGGAUGCAGAUUUUUUCCCUCACCGACAGUAGACUAUAAGAGACCAACCUAUGAAAAAGUUGAGAACCUCCAAGCCUUACUUCCAAGGGAGUGCAAUAUCUGCCAAAUGCAAAUCGGUGAAAUGUUGAACUUUAUGGAUUCAAAAUGUAGUUCAAUCCAUUUUCUUCACUAAUUUUCACUUACUAUGAGUUUCGAAUACCACUGCCACUAUUUGUAAAUGGAUGCUAGGUAGAAGCUGCUCAUUAGGUGCCUACUACUUUUUGUAAUAAUAAAGAUAAAUAGAUGUGCAAGGUGUUUAGAAUUUUUAUUCCUAUUAGCAUAACAAUGCUGAUGAAUUUUUAUAGUAGAAUGUGAACCUGGUUUAAUUUGGAAUUGUUAAUA